Molecule: ribosomal RNA, 434 nt
Filed under: uncultured Rikenella sp.
Lineage: Bacteria; Pseudomonadati; Bacteroidota; Bacteroidia; Bacteroidales; Rikenellaceae
Description: bacterial SSU rRNA
Rfam family: Bacterial small subunit ribosomal RNA
Source: RNAcentral
ACGGAAGGCAGCAGUGGGGAAUAUUGGACAAUGGGGGAAACCCUGAUCCAGCGACGCCGCGUGAGUGAAGAAGUAUUUCGGUAUGUAAAGCUCUAUCAGCAAGGAAGAAAAUGACGGUACUUGACUAAGAAGCUCCGGCUAAAUACGUGCCAGCAGCCGCGGUAAUACGGAGGAUGCAAGCGUUAUCCGGAUUUAUUGGGUUUAAAGGGUGCGUAGGCUGUGCGGCAAGUCAGGGGUGAAAGCCCGUCGCCUAACGACGGAACUGCCUUUGAUACUGUCGCGCUGGAAUACGGAUGCCGUGGGAGGAAUGAGUAGUGUAGCGGUGAAAUGCAUAGAUAUUACUCAGAACACCGAUUGCGAAGGCAUCUCACGAAUCCGUCAUUGACGCUGAGGCACGAAAGCGUGGGGAUCAAACAGGAUUAGAUACCCUGGUA